Molecule: ribosomal RNA, 98 nt
Rfam family: Bacterial large subunit ribosomal RNA
AGAUCCCUCAAAGAUGAUGAGGUUAAUAGGUUCGAGGUGGAAGCAUGGUGACAUGUGGAGCUGACGAAUACUAAUCGAUCGAAGACUUAAUCUAAUUU